This 1527-nucleotide unclassified non-coding RNA is filed under the name Hevea brasiliensis (rubber tree). The record is from RNAcentral. Lineage: Eukaryota; Viridiplantae; Streptophyta; Magnoliopsida; Malpighiales; Euphorbiaceae.
GCUUGAACCAACUUUUUCAAUGUGCAAAUGGAUAAUCCAUAGCCUUAAAUGAGACCCAGAUCGUACAACAGUACACAAAUUGUUUAUAUGAAAGACUAAUACAAAUAGUUUUUUUAUAUGUAUACGGUUGUUUGAUGAUUUGUUUGUUAACUUAAGAUUGUAUAAAUUUACAACUAAUUGAUGCAAUUAGAUGGAAUAAUGCAUUUUAACUUCAUUAAUGUCGAAUUUCCAAACAGAGAAUUUGGAAAAUAUGACUCUCAAUUGAGGCUUUGAUUAGAGUUAUUGUAGGAACAACAGAUUAGGCAGAGCCCAAUGUAUUGGCCAGCUAACCCCUCAGAGUUCUAUUUAUAGCAUACACUACCUUGGCACUUGGCACUAAGAAGCAAGAGCAGAAGCAGAGCCCCCACACAACCAGGCCAAAUUUCACUCAAAACCCUCUCUCCCUGCCUUUUCUCCUGUUCCCAGCCCAACGAGUGGCUGCUUUUGCCUGGUAGUAAUGGCAGUGGCUAAACUUGUCUGCGUCUUGCUUCUGGCUAUCCUCGGCAUUUCCAUGGUUGCAACCCAGGUAAAGUUCUUGUUGCCUUCCAUGCACAAUCUGUAUGGUUCAUUGCUCUAAUAUGCAAAAUAUUUUCUUGAAUUGCAGGUCAUGGCAAAAGAUACCCAACACCACCUUGACAGCGGGAAUUAUGGACCUGGAAGUCUGAAGAGCUCCCGUAAGUGAUCAUUUUGCAUUUGAAAGCAGGUUUCUAGUAUGAAUUGAUGAUAAUUAAUUAAUUGGUCUCGGAAUGCAACAACUAAAAUCCUAGAAAAGACAAUAAAUUUGAAAAUUUUAUAAUAGAAUAAGCACAUAUGAAAACAGAAUAUUAGUAUAAUAUGAUGUUAAUAAAAUGGAAGGAAUUUGGCAGAAUGCCCAUCGCAGUGCACGAGGAGAUGCAGCAAGACACAGUACCACAAACCGUGCAUGUUCUUCUGCCAAAAAUGCUGUGCAAAGUGCCUAUGCGUGCCUCCAGGCUACUAUGGAAAUAAAAAUGUAUGCCCCUGCUACAACAACUGGAAGACCAAGAAAGGAGGACCCAAAUGUCCCUGAUCAAACCAACAAUCACUUUUUAUAAUUUCAUUUCAUUAAUUCUAAUGUAAUAAUUUGAUUCUUGCCUAAGCAUGUUUCAAUUUGGCUGGGCUUCUUGUUGUCGCCAAUUUUUAAUUUGUAUGCUUGAAGUUGAAUUGUUGGGCCUAUGUUGAAUACAGUUAGCCUAUGUGAAUGACUAUAAAUAGAAAUCUAUUAUCCUCAUCCAGGUCACAGGUUCGGGCAUGGAUCAUUCUCUGCCAGGGUUUUGUUAUUUGUGGGCCUGGCCGAGUUGGCCUCUAUAUUGAUGGAAAUCUACGUUUGGGCUAUUGGCCUCUAUUUAUAUUGUGCUUAAGCCUAAUGUAAAUGAGGAUCACCUAUUUAUAAGUAAAAUUAAACAUUCUGUAAGGGAUGAAAGAUUUAAGAAUAUAUUCUUUCAUCAAGAUAACACAAAGAAAUGCAAC